GACGAACGCUGGCGGCGUGCUUAACACAUGCAAGUUGAACGGGCAUACAUGGAAGCUUGCUGAAGUGUAUGUUAGUAGCGGACGGGUGAGUAAUGCAUGAGGACCUGCCUACCGGAGGGGGACAACAGUUGGAAACGGCUGCUAAUACCCCGCAUGCCGAGAGGUGAAAGGAAUGGAGCCAUUCCGCCGGGAGAGGGACUCAUGUCCUAUCAGCUGGUUGGUGAGGUAACGGCUCACCAAGGCGACGACGGGUAGCCGGCCUGAGAGGGCGACCGGCCACACUGGAACUGAGAGACGGUCCAGACUCCUACGGGAGGCAGCAGUGGGGAAUAUUGGGCAAUGGGGGCAACCCUGACCCAGCGACGCCGCGUGAGGGAAGAAGGCCUUCGGGUCGUAAACUUCUUUUGUACGUGAAGAAGCAGAUGACGGUAGCGUACGAAUAAGUCCCGGCUAACUACGUGCCAGCCGCCGCAGUAA
RNAcentral lists this ribosomal RNA (477 nucleotides) under uncultured bacterium. Its description in RNAcentral is "partial 16S ribosomal RNA". It matches the Rfam family "Bacterial small subunit ribosomal RNA", at positions 28 to 523 of the family's 1533-position model. The record is from RNAcentral.